UACGUAGGAUGCAAGCGUUGUCCGGAAUUAUUGGGCGUAAAGCGAACGUAGGCGGUUUCUUAAGAUUGGUCUUAAAGACCGGGGCUCAACCUCGGGAAUGGAUCGAUAACUGGGAGACUGGAGGACGUCAGAGGAAAGUGGAAUUCCGAGUGUAGCGGUGAAAUGCGUAGAUAUUCGGAGGAACACCAGUGGCGAAAGCGACUUUCUGGGACGUUCCUGACGCUGAGGUUCGAAAGCUCGGGGAGCAAACAGG
Molecule: ribosomal RNA, 253 nt
Filed under: uncultured bacterium
Lineage: Bacteria
Description: partial 16S ribosomal RNA
Rfam family: Bacterial small subunit ribosomal RNA
Source: RNAcentral